UCUGGACAAAGACCAGUGCUACACUUGCCACAGGACUUGUGAAACAUGCAGUGGGAAGCACAGCACACAAUGCCUCUCCUGUCCACCAAGCUGGUAUAAGCAAGAAAAUGAAUGUGUACAGACCUGCUCAACUGGGUACUAUGCAAACAAUGUAUCUGGCACUUGUGAGAGAUGUCACAAAAGCUGUAAGGAGUGCCUGGGGCCUGAAUCCACAGACUGCCUGUCCUGUGAUACAGAUUUCUUCCUGCUGCACUCCACACAUGAGUGUCAGCUCUCUUGCCCGGAAUAUUACUAUGCAGACGAUGAUCAAUACACCUGUGAAAGGUGCCACCCAACCUGCCAUUCUUGCAAUGGGGAAGGACCAUUUGGCUGUACGUCUUGUGUGUGGAGUUAUCGUUUGGUUGCUGGAAGCUGCAAUUCGGAAUGCUUCAUUG
Molecule: long non-coding RNA, 434 nt
Filed under: Varanus komodoensis (Komodo dragon)
Lineage: Eukaryota; Metazoa; Chordata; Lepidosauria; Squamata; Varanidae
Description: lncRNA (ENSVKKG00000014276.1)
Source: RNAcentral